RNAcentral lists this ribosomal RNA (497 nucleotides) under uncultured bacterium. RNAcentral describes it as "partial 16S ribosomal RNA". It matches the Rfam family "Bacterial small subunit ribosomal RNA", at positions 28 to 507 of the family's 1533-position model. The record is from RNAcentral.
GAUGAACGCUGGCGGCGUGCCUAAUACAUGCAAGUCGAGCGAACGGACGAGAAGCUUGCUUCUCUGAUGUUAGCGGCGGACGGGUGAGUAACACGUGGAUAACCUACCUAUAAGACUGGGAUAACUUCGGGAAACCGGAGCUAAUACCGGAUGAUAUUUUGAACCGCAUGGUUCAAAAGUGAAAGACGGUCUUGCUGUCACUUAUAGAUGGAUCCGCGCUGCAUUAGCUAGUUGGUAAGGUAACGGCUUACCAAGGCAACGAUGCAUAGCCGACCUGAGAGGGUGAUCGGCCACACUGGAACUGAGGCACGGUCCAGACUCCUACGGGAGGCAGCAGUAGGGAAUCGUCCGCAAUGGGCGAAAGCCUGACGGAGCAACGCCGCGUGAGUGAUGAAGGUCUUCGGAUCGUAAAACUCUGUUAUUAGGGAAGAACAUAUGUGUAAGUAACUGUGCACAUCUUGACGGUACCUAAUCAGAAAGCCACGGCUAACUACGUG